RNAcentral lists this ribosomal RNA (492 nucleotides) under uncultured bacterium. RNAcentral's name for it is "partial 16S ribosomal RNA". It matches the Rfam family "Bacterial small subunit ribosomal RNA", at positions 30 to 507 of the family's 1533-position model. The record is from RNAcentral.
AUUGAACGCUGGCGGCAUGCUUUACACAUGCCAGUCGAACGGUAACAGGCCUUUGGGUGCUGACGAGUGGCGCACGGGUGAGUAAUGCAUCGGAACGUACCCAGAGGUGGGGGAUAACGCAGCGAAAGCUGUGCUAAUACCUCAUGUGAUCUGAGGUUGAAAGCGGGGGACCGAGCAGCAAUGUUUGGCCUCGCGCCUUUGGAGCGGCCGAUGUCGGAUUAGCUAGUUGGUGGGGUAAAGGCCUACCAAGGCGACGAUCCGUAGCUGGUCUGAGAGGACGACCAGCCACACUGGGACUGAGACACGGCCCAGACUCCUACGGGAGGCAGCAGUGGGGAAUUUUGGACAAUGGGCGCAAGCCUGAUCCAGCAAUGCCGCGUGCGGGAAGAAGGCCUUCGGGUUGUAAACCGCUUUUGGCAGGAACGAAACGGUGUCCGCUAAUACCGGGCGGUAAUGACGGUACCUGCAGAAUAAGCACCGGCUAACUACGUG